UUAUUACUUCAAUUGUGUGCACUAUCCAUUACCUACUGAGUAUUGUAAGAAAGUAAUUACCAUAGUAAUAAAUAUACUUAUAAAUGAUGAUUGUCGUGUGGGAAAUCUAAGGGUCCUCCCUAAUGCUGUAAAAAUCAUAUUUUACUAAAUCCUCACUCUGUAUACCUGAAUAUCUUCUGCAGGUAUUCAACUUGUUUUUAGAUACCUACUAAAGGUAGUAUUUCCCUAUCAUGUCUAUUUGAAGUCUAUCAAAUCAUUUGUGUCAUCCAUAAAAAUUUCAAAUUUUCAGUAAAGAAUUACCAUUUUUCACAACUCCGCUACCAUAUUAACAAAACAAUGUAUGUCACUGGAAUAAAAUAACCAAAGCAUGCCCCUAUCAGCUUUUGAGUCCAUGGUCGUCACAUUUGCUAUAGUGGGUGGUGUCCAUUUGCUCGUUACCCUCCUCACAGCAUUGGAAAAUGACGAGAUGGACCAUCGAAUAUUUAUGAAGGACCUGGCGAAAUAUAAGUUUUUACAUGAGAAUAAGAUUAUUUUAAACCCGAAUGUGCCAUUUUUUCAUUAAUGGAUGUUACGACAAUAAAGUGUUAAAUGUA
Long non-coding RNA from Anthonomus grandis grandis, 593 nucleotides. RefSeq lists it as uncharacterized. The record is from RefSeq and is a predicted model, not a curated record. The transcript has 2 exons. NCBI's taxonomy places the organism in Eukaryota, Metazoa, Arthropoda, Insecta, Coleoptera, Curculionidae.